CCGGGUCCGAGGGGUCCACGUAACUAUGACGAUUCAAAGUAAGUUCGCACGAAUCGCGGGCCCCGAGCCCGCGAUGACUCGAACGAGUUUCUGCCCUAUCAACUUUCAACCGUAGUGUAGGGGACUACGGUGGUGAUAACGGGUACGGGGAAUUAGGGUUCGAUUCCGGAGAGGCGGCCCGAGAAACGGCCGCCACUUCCAAGGAAGGCAGCAGGCGCGUAAAUUAUCCAAUCCCGAUUCGGGGAGAUAGUGACGAGAAAUAUCGAUGUGGAGCCCGAUCGGGUUCCACGAUCGGAAUGAGGACAACGUAAACGCGUUAGCGAGGAACGAUUGGAGGGCAAGUCUGGUGCCAGCAGCCGCGGUAAUUCCAGCUCCAAUAGUGUAUAUUAAAGUUGUUGCGGUUAAAAAGCUCGUAGUUGGACCGUUGGGGGAGGCGUCGGCACUCGCUUCCGGCGGGGAUUUUGUCGGGCGCCUCUCCGUCGUCGUCCCCGUUCCCCUCUCGGGGGGCGGGGAGGAGGUUUCUCGAGAUCGGGGCCGUUCCCCUCCGGGGGUUCUGCCCGUUUCGUAGAAGGUUUACCUUGAAUAAAUUAGGGUGUUCAAAGCGGGCGUCUUCGCUCCGAAUACGUUAGCAUGGGAUAAUGAAAGAAGACCUCCGUCCGCACCUUCGGUUUGGUUCCUGGGACGGGGGUAAUGAUUGACAGGGGCGAUUGGGGUCGAUCGUACUCGGCGGUCAGAGGUGAAAUUCUAGGACCCGUCGAAGACGCACCAGUGCGAAGGCAUCCGACAAGGACGUUUUCGUUAAUCAAGAACGAAAGUAGUGGGAUCGAAGAUGAUCAGAUACCGUCGUAGUCGCUACCGUAAACGCUGUCGACUCGGGAUCCGCGGAAGUUACAUGGAUGACUCCGCGGGCACCGCGAGCGAAAGCAAAGUAUUCGGACUCCGGGGGGAGUAUGGUCGCAAGGCUGAAACUUAAAAGAAUUGACGGAAGGGCACCACCAGGAGUGGAACCUGCGGCUUAAUUUGACUCAACACGGGGAAACUCACCCGGUCCGGACGCGACGAGGAUUGACAGAUUGAUAGCUCUUUCUUAAUUUCGUGGAAGCCGGUGCAUGGCCGUUUUUAGUUGGUGGAGUGAUUUGUCUGGUUAAGUCCGAUAACGAACGAGACCUUUUUCUGCUUAAUAGCGCCGGGAACGGGGGGGUCGCCGUCCCUCGGCGGUCGCGCCUGGCGCGGCCCUCGGGGGUCGGGGCCUCCGCAAAGUCGUUUGCCGGGAGACGCUUCUUAGAGAGACACUCGGCGGUUCUUCAGCCGAUGGAAGUUAAAGGCAAAAACAGGUCUGUGAUGCCGCCAGAUGUCCGGGGCUGCACGCGCGUUACACUGCCGUGUUCAACGAGCGCAAAAAUUGACCGAGCUCGAAGGGGUGAGGCAAGCUCGCAACGCACGGCGUGAUGGGGAUCGUGCCUUGUAACUAUCGCACGCGAACGAGGAAUUCCUAGUAGUGGCGAGUCAUCAACUCGCCUCGAUUACGUCCCUGCCCUUUGUACACACCGCCCGUCGCUUCUACCGAUCGAACCGCUCGAUGAGGACUCGAGACGGCGGGGGCCUUCGAUCUCGCGGGGGGUUCCCCCCUCGCGCGCCGGGGGCCUUCGCCGGAACCUGUUCGAAUCUCGCCGUUUAGAGGAAGAAGAAGUCGUAACAAGGUUUUUGUAGGUGAACCUGCAAAAGGAUCA
This 1730-nucleotide ribosomal RNA is filed under the name Polychaos annulatum. RNAcentral's name for it is "SSU rRNA". It matches the Rfam family "Eukaryotic small subunit ribosomal RNA", at positions 217 to 1828 of the family's 1831-position model. Lineage: Eukaryota; Tubulinea; Elardia; Euamoebida; Hartmannellidae. The record is from RNAcentral.